CAAAAAUCCAUAUCAGGAUAAAUUGUCUGAAUUGAUGUGAUAAGGACAAACAGAAGGAGAAGUUUAAAACGUUAAUGUGAAGCAGUUUAUUGUUCUCCUACUGGUACAUACUAUUUCAUUUCAAACUUCACAUCUCUCUACUACAGGCUACUUAUCAUAAUGAACGAUAUCAGCAAAACGGCUGUGAAACAUGGGUCGGUAUGGUCAGCGUCGAUAAUUUAACUGGGGAUGGAACCCCCAACCUACCAGUAUUUACCCACAAUGCCCCUGAGUUAGCUAUAGACCAUCUAUCUCCACCACUAAGAGACAGUAUUUACCCAGUAUUUACCCACAAUGCCCCUGAGUUAGCUCUAGACCAUCUAUCUCCACCACUAAGAGACAGUAUUUACCCAGUAUUUACCCACAAUGCCCCUGAGUUAGCUCUAGACCAUCUAUCUCCACCACUAAGAGACAGUAUUUACCCAGUAUUUACCCACAAUGCCCCUGAUUAGCUAUAGACCAUCUAUCACCACCACUAAGAGACAGUAUUUACCCAGUAUUUACCCACAAUGCCCUGAGUUAGCUCUAGACCAUCUACUCCACCACUAAGAGACAGUAUUUACCCACAAUGCCCCUGAGUUAGCUAUAGUCCAUCUAUCUCCACCACUAAGAGACAGUAUUUACCCAGUAUUUACCCACAAUGCCCCUGAGUUAGCUCUAGACCAUCUAUCUCCACCACUAAGAGACAGUAUUUAACCAGUAUUUACCCACAAUGCCCCUGAGUUAGCUCUAGACCAUCUACUCCACCACUAAGAGACAGUAUUUACCCACAAUGCCCCUGAGUUAGCUAUAGUCCAUCUAUCUCCACCACUAAGAGACAGUAUUUACCCAGUAUUUACCCACAAUGCCCCUGAGUUAGCUCUAGACCACCUAUCUCCACCACUAAGAGACAGUAUUUACCCACAAUGCCCUGAGUUAGCUCUAGACCAUCUAUCUCCACCACUAAGAGACAGUAUUUACCCACAAUGCCCUGAGUUAGCUCUAGACCAUCUAUCUCCACCACUAAGAGACAGUAUUUACCCACAAUGCCCUGAGUUAGCUCUAGACCAUCUAUCACCACCACUAAGAGACAGUAUUUAACCAGUAUUUACCCACAAUGCCCCUGAGUUAGCUCUAGUCCAUCUAUCUCCACCACUAAGAGACAGUAUUUACCCAGUAUUUACCCACAAUGCCCUGAGUUAGCUCUAGACCAUCUAUCUCCACCACUAAGAGACAGUAUUUACCCAGUAUUUACCCACAAUGCCCCUGAUUAGCUAUAGACCAUCUACUCCACCACUAAGAGACAGUAUUUACCCACAAUGCCCCUGAGUUAGCUCUAGACCAUCUAUCUCCACCACUAAGAGACAGUAUUUACCCAGUAUUUACCCACAAUGCCCCUGAGUUAGCUCUAGACCAUCUAUCUCCACCACUAAGAGACAGUAUUUACCCAGUAUUUACCCACAAUGCCCCUGAGUUAGCUAUAGACCAUCUAUCUCCACCACUAAGAGACAGUAUUUACCCAGUAUUUACCCACAAUGCCCCUGAGUUAGCUCUAGACCAUCUAUCUCCACCACUAAGAGACAGUAUUUACCCAGUAUUUACCCACAAUGCCCCUGAGUUAGCUCUAG
Molecule: long non-coding RNA, 1646 nt
Filed under: Salmo salar (Atlantic salmon)
Lineage: Eukaryota; Metazoa; Chordata; Actinopteri; Salmoniformes; Salmonidae
Description: lncRNA (ENSSSAG00000118455.1)
Source: RNAcentral